RNAcentral lists this ribosomal RNA (387 nucleotides) under uncultured bacterium. RNAcentral's name for it is "bacterial SSU rRNA". It matches the Rfam family "Bacterial small subunit ribosomal RNA", at positions 65 to 482 of the family's 1533-position model. The record is from RNAcentral.
AAUUAUUUAUAGCCUCUGGCUAUAGGAAAUUGUUAGUGGCAGACGGGUGAGUAAUGCGUAGGAAUCUACCUAGUAGUACGGAAUAGCCAUUAGAAAUGGUGGGUAAUACUGUAUAAUCCCCGAGGGGGAAAGAUUUAUCGCUAUUAGAUGAGCCUACGUUAGAUUAGCUAGUUGGUGAGGUAAUGGCUUACCAAGGCUAUGAUCUAUAGCUGGUCUGAGAGGACGAUCAGCCACACUGGAACUGAGAUACGGUCCAGACUCCUACGGGAGGCAGCAGUGGGGAAUAUUGGACAAUGGGCGAAAGCCUGAUCCAGCUAUGCCGCGUGAGUGAAGAAGGCCUUCGGGUUGUAAAACUCUUUCAAUAGGGAAGAUAAUGACGGUACCUAU